UGGGGAAUAUUGGACAAUGGGCGCAAGCCUGAUCCAGCCAUGCCGCGUGUGUGAAGAAGGCCUUUUGGUUGUAAAGCACUUUAAGCGAGGAGGAGGCUCCUAUAGUUAAUACCUAUAGUGAGUGGACGUUACUCGCAGAAUAAGCACCGGCUAACUCUGUGCCAGCAGCCGCGGUAAUACAGAGGGUGCGAGCGUUAAUCGGAUUUACUGGGCGUAAAGCGUGCGUAGGCGGCUUUUUAAGUCGGAUGUGAAAUCCCUGAGCUUAACUUAGGAAUUGCAUUCGAUACUGGGAAGCUAGAGUAUGGGAGAGGAUGGUAGAAUUCCAGGUGUAGCGGUGAAAUGCGUAGAGAUCUGGAGGAAUACCGAUGGCGAAGGCAGCCAUCUGGCCUAAUACUGACGCUGAGGUACGAAAGCAUGGGGAGCAAACA
Molecule: ribosomal RNA, 428 nt
Filed under: uncultured Acinetobacter sp.
Lineage: Bacteria; Pseudomonadati; Pseudomonadota; Gammaproteobacteria; Moraxellales; Moraxellaceae
Description: bacterial SSU rRNA
Rfam family: Bacterial small subunit ribosomal RNA
Source: RNAcentral